Molecule: ribosomal RNA, 119 nt
Organism: Bombina bombina (fire-bellied toad)
Lineage: Eukaryota; Metazoa; Chordata; Amphibia; Anura; Bombinatoridae
Source: RefSeq, a predicted model, not a curated record
GUCUACGGCCACACCCCCCUGAAUGCGCCCGAUCCCGUCUGAUCUCAGAAGCUAAGCAAGGUCAGGCCUGGUCAGUACCAGGAUGGGAGACCUCAUGGGAAUACCAGGUGCUGUAGGCU